GACUAUAUACUAAACAUUACCAGUAUGUUGUAUAUUUUCAUAUGUUUUCAUGUUACUAAUUAUUAUCCUUUCAUUUCAGGUUGAAGAACUCCUUUCAGCAUUUCUUAUAAGGCACAUCUAGUGGUGAUUAACUCCCUCAGCUGUUGUUUGUUAGGAAAGUGUUUAUCUCACCUUCAUUUCUGAUGGACAACUUUGCCAGAUGAGGAAACUGGAAGCUGAGACUUUGAGGAAAUCUCCUAAGUUUACAAAUGAAUAUUACUUAGAGCUCACAUUCAAACUCAGGGAUCUCAAGGGAUCCCAGUGAGUUGGUGAUUAUCUACAGUAUUGAAAAAAUGUUGGACUUGAUCCCAAGAGAACUUUUUAGGUUUGACUCUUUCAAAGAAAAGAGAGAUUGUCAUAAAU
RNAcentral lists this long non-coding RNA (402 nucleotides) under Monodon monoceros (narwhal). RNAcentral describes it as "lncRNA (ENSMMNG00015011355.1)". Lineage: Eukaryota; Metazoa; Chordata; Mammalia; Artiodactyla; Monodontidae. The record is from RNAcentral.